AUUGAACGCUGGCGGCAGGCCUAACACAUGCAAGUCGAGCGGUAGAGAGAAGCUUGCUUCUCUUGAGAGCGGCGGACGGGUGAGUAAUGCCUAGGAAUCUGCCUGGUAGUGGGGGAUAACAUUCGGAAACGGACGCUAAUACCGCAUACGUCCUACGGGAGAAAGCAGGGGACCUUCGGGCCUUGCGCUAUCAGAUGAGCCUAGGUCGGAUUAGCUAGUUGGUGGGGUAAUGGCUCACCAAGGCGACGAUCCGUAACUGGUCUGAGAGGAUGAUCAGUCACACGGGAAUUGGAACACGGUCCAGACCCUCAGGGGAGGCAGCAGGGGGGAAUAUGGGAAAAGGGGCGAAAGCCUGACCCAGCCAGGCCGGGGGUGGGAAGAAGGUCUUCGGUUUGUAAAGCACUUUAAGUUGGGGGGAAGGGAAGUAAAUUAAUACUUUGCUGUUUUGACGUUACCGACAGAAUAAGCACCGGCUAACUCUGU
RNAcentral lists this ribosomal RNA (483 nucleotides) under uncultured bacterium. RNAcentral describes it as "partial 16S ribosomal RNA". It matches the Rfam family "Bacterial small subunit ribosomal RNA", at positions 30 to 506 of the family's 1533-position model. The record is from RNAcentral.